RNAcentral lists this long non-coding RNA (201 nucleotides) under Elaeis guineensis (African oil palm). RNAcentral's name for it is "long non-coding RNA (EGUI_LNC047933)". The record is from RNAcentral. Lineage: Eukaryota; Viridiplantae; Streptophyta; Magnoliopsida; Arecales; Arecaceae.
UGACAUCUUCUACUCAAACCAGACCAUCUAGUCAUGGUUGAGGCUGAUUCUAUUUCAGUUGUUAUGAUCUUAAGCUCGAUGCCCAUGCUCCCUGAUCUGAUCAUUUUGUAUUAGCUGGUUUAGGUUUCAUACUACUUAGCUGUUGUUUGUUUUAAUGGUUGGAUUUUGUUGAAUGUAGGAGAAUCUUAUGUUCAUAGAUAC